UUUUUCCAUCUGCUUUGGCUGCAGGUAAUUUGGAGAUACCAACGUCAUCAGACCAUCUGUUCAGUAAAACCGCAGCAAUGCUUUUCCUCCUGCGUCAUUUAUGCCUCGACAGUGACUUUGGGCUAUUUUCAAUAUAUGCUGGGCAGAGACGAAAUUGUGUUCCGAGUGGUCCCUUAGCAUCGCAUCAAAGGGUACUCUCGCCCUGGGAACCCAGUCACCAUGCUGUGGGAAAGCCAAGCAGCCACAUGCAGAUGUCCUAGCUAUUUCCUAGCUAUUUAAGUCUACUCAGCCAAGAGCCAGCAGGAACCGCUACACAUACUCUGCUGCCCUGGGCUCCAUCAUGCCUGUCCUUGGUUUAACUCCUAAAUAGCUGUCCAUUCAGGCAACGGCCUCCCUCAAUUGAUGUGCAGCUUUCUGUAGAGUGCCUUGAAUUUCUCUGGAAGUUAUAUUUCUACAUAUUUACACUGCCUGGUCCCCCUGAUGCUUGUAUUUUAGAAAGGGCCUCAACACAGCAAAGGUAAUCAGACCCUGUGGAGGCUGAAGAUCUAACCUUGACAUCAACAGCAACAAGCAGUAAUCAACUGGGUUAACUAGCCUGAGGAAAAAGUAACGACUUCUGUCAGUGAAAAAAUGUUGCCUGCCAUAUCAGUAAACAAAUGAUGUUGCAGCCAUCAAGCCAUCACAUUACAGCUGCCCCGACAGUGAGCCCUGAGGGAACUCAGGAUGGAAACAGGAUGCCUGCCAUUUAGCAGUCAACUGCUGCAGCCACUCUGACGGUGCACCCUGAGGAGACUCUGGAUGAAAAAGCACAGGAUACUGGCCCCAGAGAGCUGAGGUGCACAUCAAAGGAAUGAUUUCAGUGAGCCCAGACUCUUGCAUCUUCCCAUACGUAGAAAAGCGCUAAAUUCAUUAACUUGCGAUGUCUGGUUUUCUUUAAUUAACGGCAAUCUUCUGAUGUUCCGACCACCUGGUCUUUGUUCCAAAAACUCCUGUGUAUUCUGGCUCCCCCCCCUUGCCUCUUCUGAGCAGUCCCUCAGAAUGAUCUGAGAGGCCAUGUCCCGGGCUUAAGUCCUCAGUG
This is a long non-coding RNA of Balaenoptera ricei (Rice's whale), 1078 nucleotides long. RefSeq lists it as uncharacterized. The transcript has 5 exons. The record is from RefSeq and is a predicted model, not a curated record. Lineage: Eukaryota; Metazoa; Chordata; Mammalia; Artiodactyla; Balaenopteridae.